AACCUGGUUGAUGCCUGCCAGUAGUCAUAUGCGUUGUCUCAAAGAUUAAGCCAUGCAUGUGCUCAGUAUAAGCUUCUAUAUGGCGAAACUGCGAAUGGCUCAUUAAAACAGUUAUAGUUUAUUUGGUGGUCAACUUCUACAUGGAUAACCGUGGUAAUUCUAGAGCUAAUACAUGCGCCCAAACCCAACUUCUUGGAAGGGUUGUGUUUAUUAGAUACAGAACCAACCCAGGCUCCGCCUGGCCUUGAGGUGAUUCAUAAUAACCGAACGAAUCGCAUGGCUCCGCCGGCGAUAGACCAUUCAAGUUUCUGACCUAUCAGCUAUCGUCGGUAGGGUAUUGGCCUACCGUGGCAAUGACGGGUAACGGAGAAUUAGGGUUCGAUUCCGGAGAGGGAGCCUGAGAAACGGCUACCACAUCUAAGGAAGGCAGCAGGCGCGCAAAUUACCCAAUCCUGACGCAGGGAGGUAGUGACAAGAAAUAACAGUACAGGGCAUAUCUGUCUUGUAAUUGGAAUGAGUAAACUUUAAAUCACUUUGCGAGUAUCAAUUGGAGGGCAAGUCUGGUGCCAGCAGCCGCGGUAAUUCCAGCUCCAAUAGC
Molecule: ribosomal RNA, 598 nt
Filed under: uncultured marine eukaryote
Lineage: Eukaryota
Description: SSU rRNA
Rfam family: Eukaryotic small subunit ribosomal RNA
Source: RNAcentral